CCUUACGGCUCAGUAACACGUGGAUAACCUGCCCUUGGGUCCGGCAUAACCCCGGGAAACUGGGGAUAAUUCCGGAUAACGCAUAUAUGCUGGAAUGCUUUAUGCGUAAAAUGGAUUCGUCCGCCCAAGGAUGGGUCUGCGGCCUAUCAGGUAGUAGUGGGUGUAAUGUACCUACUAGCCAACAACGGGUACGGGUUGUGAGAGCAAGAGCCCGGAGAUGGAUUCUGAGACAUGAAUCCAGGCCCUACGGGGCGCAGCAGGCGCGAAAACUUUACAAUGCGGGAAACCGUGAUAAGGGGACACCGAGUGCCAGCAUCAUAUGCUGGCUGUCCAGGUGUGUAAAAUACACCUGUUAGCAAGGGCCGGGCAAGACCGGUGCCAGCCGCCGCGGUAACACCGGCGGCCCGAGUGGUGAUCGUGAUUAUUGGGUCUAAAGGGUCCGUAGCCGGUUUGGUCAGUCCUCCGGGAAAUCUGAUAGCUCAACUAUUAGGCUUUCGGGGGAUACUGCCAGGCUUGGAACCGGGAGAGGUAAGAGGUACUACAGGGGUAGGAGUGAAAUCUUGUAAUCCCUGUGGGACCACCUGUGGCGAAGGCGUCUUACCAGAACGGGUUCGACGGUGAGGGACGAAAGCUGGGGGCACGAACCGGAUUAGAUACCCGGGUAGUCCCAGCCGUAAACGAUGCUCGCUAGGUGUCAGGCAUGGCGCGACCGUGUCUGGUGCCGCAGGGAAGCCGUGAAGCGAGCCACCUGGGAAGUACGGCCGCAAGGCUGAAACUUAAAGGAAUUGGCGGGGGAGCAC
Molecule: ribosomal RNA, 800 nt
Filed under: uncultured archaeon
Lineage: Archaea
Description: bacterial SSU rRNA
Rfam family: Archaeal small subunit ribosomal RNA
Source: RNAcentral